This 77-nucleotide transfer RNA is filed under the name Vibrio parahaemolyticus. RNAcentral's name for it is "tRNA-OTHER". It matches the Rfam family "tRNA". Rfam says of the family: Transfer RNA (tRNA) molecules are approximately 80 nucleotides in length. Their secondary structure includes four short double-helical elements and three loops (D, anti-codon, and T loops). Further hydrogen bonds mediate the characteristic L-shaped molecular structure. tRNAs have two regions of fundamental functional importance: the anti-codon, which is responsible for specific mRNA codon recognition, and the 3' end, to which the tRNAs corresponding amino acid is attached (by aminoacyl-tRNA synthetases). tRNAs cope with the degeneracy of the genetic code in two manners: having more than one tRNA (with a specific anti-codon) for a particular amino acid; and 'wobble' base-pairing, i.e. permitting non-standard base-pairing at the 3rd anti-codon position. Lineage: Bacteria; Pseudomonadati; Pseudomonadota; Gammaproteobacteria; Vibrionales; Vibrionaceae. The record is from RNAcentral.
GCGUCCUUAGCUCAGCUGGAUAGAGUCCCUGGCUACGACCAGGGGGGGCGGAGGUUCGAAUCCUCCAGGACGCGCCA